This 402-nucleotide ribosomal RNA is filed under the name uncultured prokaryote. Its description in RNAcentral is "bacterial SSU rRNA". It matches the Rfam family "Bacterial small subunit ribosomal RNA", at positions 355 to 774 of the family's 1533-position model. The record is from RNAcentral.
UAGGGAAUAUUAGAAAUGGACGAAAGUCUGAUCUAGCAACACCGCGUGUGCGAAGAAGGCCUUCGGGUUGUAAAGCACUUUUUGGAAGGAUUAGGAAGGAAUGUACUUCCAGAAUAAGUCUCGGCUAACUACGUGCAAGCAGCCGCGGUAACACGUAGGAGGCAAACGUUAUCCGGAUUUACUGGGCGUAAAGCGCGUGUAGGUGGUUCUGUAAGUAGGGCGUGAAAGCUCCUGGCUCAACUGGGAGAGGCCGUUCUAAACUGCAGAGCUAGAGGAUGGUAGAGGGAGGUGGAAUUGCGUGUGUAGCGGUGGAAUGCGCAGAUAUCCGGAGGAACACCAGUGGCGAAAGCGGCCUCCUGGACCGUUCCUGACACUCAGGUGCGAAAGCGUGGGUAGCAAACG